GGAGGCGCCCCGGGGAAGCGGCCGUUGGGCCGCGGGAGUCUGCGCCCCGCGUGAAACUGCUGCAACUCGAGCACUUCCUAAAACCUGACUCCAGAUCCGAGCUGGGGCACUCGGUGUUUUUCUUUUCCUCCAUCGCCACCUUCUCUUGUGCUGCUCCCAUCUUUGUUUUUGUUAAGAAAGAUGCUGUCUUCUGUAUCCCUCCUUUUGUUUUUCAAAGCGCAUAUUGCAGAAUACUUGCUUCUGUAAGUAAUGUUUUGCGUAAAAUCCAUUCGCGUAUAUGCAUCCAACACUAUGUUAUUUUGUUACCUCUUUUCUUGUGGGGGAGCGUGCCUAGUUCAUUAGCAUUUUGUUUUGUUUUCUCCUACAGUAGUCCUUCAGGCAACACCCACAUUUCUGUAGUUUUCUUUAAGUUUUUUUAGGUUAUUUUUAAUCUUGCCAGUAAUAUGCUUUCUGUUGUCUUUGGAAGGUGCUCAAUGUAAUUCUUGCACUAAAAAGUAUUUCAACUUCAAGAACGAAUAGAGAGAUGUUUUAGAGGAUCACUCUUUUUUUUUUUUCCCAAUAUGUUCUUUUAUAGUAUCUUUCUGUUGUAAGAGACAGAUUCAAGAACCAAAAAUAGCCUUCAUUUAGGUGGAAGUUUGUCCUCAGGAAGAUCAGCUUUAUGACUACAGAGAGUGUAUUAGCUGCGAAUCUAGGUUCAGGAAGAGUGCUUCAUGCUGCUCCAUUUCUCUCCUCCAUAUGAAACGUUCACAGAUCUUUACAUAAGAAUCUGAUGCCUCUUUUUCUUCUAUAUUUGUCCUUGUUUACUGCUCCACCCAAUUUGGUGUCCUUUGCAAAUGUCACCUGGCUUCUUAGCCUUUGCCAUUCCCAUGCUCUUUCAAAUUGCUAAUGGGAAUGUUAAAAUGGGACCUAAAAAUGACCCUCUGGUAAUGUGCAUUUACUGCCAAUCCAUUACAAUACUGUUUAGUUUUGUUGCUGGGAUAGUUUUCAGAAUGUGGGAUGGGGUUAAAUCUGAGCAGAUUUGAAUGCCUUAUAUGAGUGACGUUCAGGAACAGUACCUGAAAUUCUCUGCUAAAGUUAAAAACUUCAUUCAUAUUCUGAAACACCACUGCAGUGCAAUUUCUAGCAUUUGAAACUCUUCAGUAUAGCUUGCUUAGUAGUACUACAGUCCAUAAUUAGUGUUGCUAUGGAUAAGUUUUGUUUUUUUUUUAAAGUUGGUACUUCUGUGUUCAGAAGGUAACAAAUGAGUAUCUAUCUAUCUUGUACUCAUCUGUUGAUUUGUGGCAGUGUAGGUGUUAAUGAGUGUAACAAUCCCCUAGCAUGUCUAUUAUUAUUAUUAUUAUUAUUUUUUUCCCUAAUACUUGGGAUGGAGAAUAUACUUGAAUCCAGAUAUCUGGACUUGCCUUUUCAGAUUUAGCUAUC
RNAcentral lists this long non-coding RNA (1419 nucleotides) under Apteryx rowi (Okarito brown kiwi). Its description in RNAcentral is "lncRNA (ENSARWG00000009237.1)". The record is from RNAcentral. Lineage: Eukaryota; Metazoa; Chordata; Aves; Apterygiformes; Apterygidae.